GAUGAACGCUAGCGAUAGGCCUAACACAUGCAAGUCGAGGGGCAUCACAUGAAGUAGCAAUACGGAUGGUGGCGACCGGCGCACGGGUGAGUAACACGUAUGCAACCUGCCUUCAACAAGGGGAUAACCCGUUGAAAGACGGACUAAUACCCUAUAACACAGGGGUCCCGCAUGGGAAUAUUUGUUAAAGGACAACCGGUUGAAGAUGGGCAUGCGUUCCAUUAGCUAGUUGGCGGGGUAACGGCCCACCAAGGCAACGAUGGAUAGGGGAACUGAGAGGUUUAUCCCCCACACUGGUACUGAGACACGGACCAGACUCCUACGGGAGGCAGCAGUGAGGAAUAUUGGUCAAUGGACGCAAGUCUGAACCAGCCACGUCGCGUGAAGGAAGACGGCCCUACGGGUUGUAAACUUCUUUUAUACGGGAAUAAAGUGCCCCACGCGUGGGGUUUUGCAUGUACCGUAUGAAUAAGGAUCGGCUAACUCCGUGCCAGCAGCCGCGGUAAGUCA
Molecule: ribosomal RNA, 510 nt
Filed under: uncultured bacterium
Lineage: Bacteria
Description: bacterial SSU rRNA
Rfam family: Bacterial small subunit ribosomal RNA
Source: RNAcentral